GGGUUCUUGGUCUAGGGGUAUGAUUUUCGCUUCGCAUGUUCCUCUGGAACGCGGCAUGUGAAAGGUCGUGGGUUCAAUUCCCACAGGAUCCA
This 92-nucleotide transfer RNA is filed under the name Hortaea werneckii. RNAcentral describes it as "tRNA-Ala". It matches the Rfam family "tRNA". From Rfam's summary of the family: Transfer RNA (tRNA) molecules are approximately 80 nucleotides in length. Their secondary structure includes four short double-helical elements and three loops (D, anti-codon, and T loops). Lineage: Eukaryota; Fungi; Ascomycota; Dothideomycetes; Mycosphaerellales; Teratosphaeriaceae. The record is from RNAcentral. RNAcentral also lists the same sequence under 1 other name.